Molecule: ribosomal RNA, 460 nt
Filed under: uncultured bacterium
Lineage: Bacteria
Description: partial 16S ribosomal RNA
Rfam family: Bacterial small subunit ribosomal RNA
Source: RNAcentral
CCUACGGGAGGCAGCAGUGAGGAAUAUUGGUCAAUGGCCGUAAGGCUGAACCAGCCAAGUAGCGUGAGGGAAGACUGCCCUAUGGGUUGUAAACCUCUUUUAUGCGGGGAUAAAGGUGUCCACGUGUGGAUGUUUGCAGGUACCGCAUGAAUAAGGACCGGCUACUUCCGUGCCAGCAGCCGCGGUAAUACGGAAGGUCCGGGCGUUAUCCGGAUUUAUUGGGUUUAAAGGGAGCGUAGGCCGGUCUUUAAGCUUGCCGUGAAAUUUUGGGGCUCAACCAUGGCAGUGCGUCGCGUACUGGAGAGCUUGAGUGUGCGGGAGGCAGGCGGAAUGCGUGGUGUAGCGGUGAAAUGCUUAGAGAUCACGAAGAACCCCGAUUGCGAAGGCAGCCUGCCGCAGCGUUACUGACGCUGAAGCUCGAAAGCGCGGGGAUCGAACAGGAUUAGAUACCCUUGUAGUC